This 440-nucleotide ribosomal RNA is filed under the name uncultured bacterium. RNAcentral's name for it is "partial 16S ribosomal RNA". It matches the Rfam family "Bacterial small subunit ribosomal RNA", at positions 338 to 795 of the family's 1533-position model. The record is from RNAcentral.
UCUACGGGAGGCAGCAGUGGGGAAUAUUGCACAAUGGGGGAAACCCUGAUGCAGCAACGCCGCGUGGGUGAAGGAGCGUUUCGGCGCGUAAAGCCCUGUCAGCGGGGAAGAAGAAAGACGGUACCCGACCAAGAAGCCCCGGCUAACUACGUGCCAGCAGCCGCGGUAAUACGUAGGGGGCGAUCGUUAUCCGGAAUUAUUGGGUUUAAAGGGUGCGUAGGCGGUCUGUUAAGUCAGCGGUAAAAUUGCGGGGCUCAACCCCGUCGAGCCGUUGAAACUGGCAGACUUGAGUUGGCGAGAAGUACGCGGAAUGCGCGGUGUAGCGGUGAAAUGCAUAGAUAUCGCGCAGAACGCCGAUUGCGAAGGCAGCGUACCGGCGCCAGACUGACGCUGAGGCACGAAAGCGUGGGGAUCGAACAGGAUUAGAUACCCUAGUAGUC